Neofelis nebulosa (Clouded leopard) is the source of this 659-nucleotide long non-coding RNA. RefSeq lists it as uncharacterized. The transcript has 2 exons. Lineage: Eukaryota; Metazoa; Chordata; Mammalia; Carnivora; Felidae. The record is from RefSeq and is a predicted model, not a curated record.
UCCAACACUUACAACAAACUGGCAGCAGGAGAGGCAGUGGAGUCUGUCUUCUGUCCUUCAUUUUCCUGCCUUCAUUUAGAACUCCAACGGCUCUUCCUUUUUUGAGAUUUCUUAUUUGCCAGUUGACAGGCCGGAGGCUAACUGAGAAGUCAGCAGAGAGGUCAUUGCUCUGUCGAGUCUCCCAGCUGUGGUUGCAUGAGGUGGGGAGCUCUGAAAUGGUAAUGAUCCCAAGCUUGCCAAAUAAGAAUGGGAAGAGUCUCCUGGCCUAAGAUUUCAUGGAAAAGAAAACGGAAGCAGGCCCAGGUGCAGGGCAGAAAAGGGAGCCAGCAGACCCUGGGCCAUAGAGCUAAGGAAGCAGAGAGAACGCUCAGGGGAGUGAGGUCAGCUCCGGGACAGGACAUUUCCUUGCAAGCUGAGGAGCACCCUCCAGUCUCUGCUGCUGUACUCGGAGUGAAUGCAGUGGCACAGUGGUGAUAGUUGCCAUAGAGAGGGACAAAUAGACUAUUGUUUAGUGCAAGGACUUGAUUUCUGCCAGAAAGUUUCACACUCAAAAUAAAUAUUAUAUAUGGCUCCCAUCAGAAGUAUCUAAUCUAGAAAGAAGAAAAAUGUCUAUUUUCUGAGGUGUUUUAAUAAAGUGCUUUAAUUCUAGAUGUCCAUAA